This 112-nucleotide small nuclear RNA is filed under the name Suricata suricatta (meerkat). RNAcentral describes it as "U2 spliceosomal RNA (ENSSSUG00005000447.1)". It matches the Rfam family "U2 spliceosomal RNA". Rfam says of the family: U2 is a small nuclear RNA (snRNA) component of the spliceosome (involved in pre-mRNA splicing). Complementary binding between U2 snRNA (in an area lying towards the 5' end but 3' to hairpin I) and the branchpoint sequence (BPS) of the intron results the bulging out of an unpaired adenosine, on the BPS, which initiates a nucleophilic attack at the intronic 5' splice site, thus starting the first of two transesterification reactions that mediate splicing. The record is from Rfam by way of RNAcentral. Lineage: Eukaryota; Metazoa; Chordata; Mammalia; Carnivora; Herpestidae.
AUUGCUUCUCGGCCUUUUGGCUAAGAUCAAGUGUGAACUAUUUGUUCUUCCUGUCCAGGAGCAUGGAAUAUUUUCCCAUUUUUUGUGUCUUCAAUUUCUUUUAUAAGCUUUC